This 788-nucleotide ribosomal RNA is filed under the name uncultured organism. RNAcentral's name for it is "bacterial SSU rRNA". It matches the Rfam family "Bacterial small subunit ribosomal RNA", at positions 40 to 824 of the family's 1533-position model. The record is from RNAcentral.
CGGCAGGCUUACACAUGCAAGUCGAUGGGUAACGAUGGUGCUUGCACCAGGCGACGACCGGCGGACGGGUGAGUAACGCGUAUGCAACCUACCUAUUGCAGGAAGAUAGCCCGAGGAAACUCGGAUUAAUAUUCCAUAAUAUCAUUUUUACACAUGUAUUAAUGAUUAAAGCUACGGCGGCAAUAGAUGGGCAUGCGUACCAUUAGCUAGUUGGUGAGGUAACGGCUCACCAAGGUUACGAUGGUUAGGGGGUCUUAAAGGAUGAUCCCCCACACUGGUACUGAGACACGGACCAGACUCCUACGGGAGGCAGCAGUGAGGAAUAUUGGGCAAUGGACGCAAGUCUGACCCAGCCAUGCCGCGUGCAGGAUGACUGCUCUAGUAGUUGUAAACUGCUUUUCUAUUUCAUGAACCCCUCUGACGUGUCAGGGGCUGACAGUAGAAUAGGAAUAAGCAUCGGCCAACUCCGUGCCAGCAGCCGCGGUAAUACGGAGGAUGCAAGCGUUAUCCGGAUUUACUAGGUUUAAAGGGUGCGUAGGCGGGGUAUCAAGUCAGUGGUGAAAUCCUGCAGCUCAACUGUAGAACUGCCAUUGAAACUGAUAUUCUUGAGUAUAGUUGAGGUAGGCGGAAUGUGUUAAGUAGCGGUGAAAUGCAUAGAGAUAACACAGAACACCGAUUGCGAAGGCAGCUUACUAAACUAUUACUGACGCUGAGGUACGAAAGCGUGGGGAGCGAACAGGAUUAGAUACCCUGGUAGUCCACGCCCGUAACGUUGAUCACUAGUUGUU